RNAcentral lists this long non-coding RNA (275 nucleotides) under Lathyrus oleraceus (garden pea). RNAcentral's name for it is "Pisum sativum (pea) long non-coding RNA (PSAT_LNC006418)". Lineage: Eukaryota; Viridiplantae; Streptophyta; Magnoliopsida; Fabales; Fabaceae. The record is from RNAcentral.
UUCAGACGUCAAGAUAUUGAACUUAUAAAGUCCAAGAAAUUUUGUACCAUUUUAAGUUGUUAUAAUGCCCAAGUAUUAUUAUAAAAUUAAAAUGUUAUUAGGAAUACACUCUUGAUAAUUUUCUAAAACAAACAAAUCCGAACGCGAGUAUAGUCUAAUUUAUACUUGAAUUUAAUAACGAUUUAAAUAUAGUAGAGGUUAUUAUAAAUAUUUUAAAUAAAUAAAUAUUUUAAUUUGUAACGGGAUUAUGUUUAUUUAACCGUAAAUUAUAUUCU